GAGCACAAAACGAGAAAGUAACACGAAAGCAGCGGUAUCUACUAGUGCUCACUUUCACGUAGGAUGUAGUAGUGACAAACGAAGGGAAAAAGCGAAGGGGAACAAAGAUCACGAAAAAGAAGUUCACAGAAAGAUUGUCUGCAAGCUUAAAAUAACAAAAGUGACGACACUGACCAGUAUGUUAGCACAACGUCAUCAAGGGCACAAAGGAUCACCGGCCACACACAUGCUCGGAGGUUUUACUUGGACACUUGCGAUACCGUUUCUCGCUGUGCUGGCCAUGUGUGCUCAGGGUGCAGCAGGAGGAAGUUACUACGGUUUCAUCCAUUACACAGCGGAGCCCAUCACCCAAGAAUAUUGCAAACAAUUUGUCUGCGAAAAUACUGUAUGUCCUGGCUAUUGUGCGUGUCCCAGAGGUUUGAACAGAAUUUUUACCUUUGGCCUUCUACACUGUCAACUACCCUGAAGUCUUGUUGGCAUAUGAAAUAAUGUAAAUGGCAGUGAUGGUCCA
Molecule: long non-coding RNA, 511 nt
Organism: Dermacentor albipictus
Lineage: Eukaryota; Metazoa; Arthropoda; Arachnida; Ixodida; Ixodidae
Source: RefSeq, a predicted model, not a curated record